This 611-nucleotide ribosomal RNA is filed under the name uncultured bacterium. RNAcentral's name for it is "bacterial SSU rRNA". It matches the Rfam family "Bacterial small subunit ribosomal RNA", at positions 338 to 951 of the family's 1533-position model. The record is from RNAcentral.
CCUACGGGAGGCAGCAGUGAGGAAUAUUGGACAAUGGGCGCAAGCCUGAUCCAGCCAUGCCGCGUGCAGGAUGAAGCAUCUAUGGUGUGUAAACUGCUUUUGUACGAGAAGAAACACUGCUUCGUGAAGCAGCUUGACGGUAUCGUAAGAAUAAGGAUCGGCUAACUCCGUGCCAGCAGCCGCGGUAAUACGGAGGAUCCAAGCGUUAUCCGGAAUCAUUGGGUUUAAAGGGUCCGUAGGCGGCCUUAUAAGUCAGUGGUGAAAUCUCACGGCUCAACUGUGAAAUGGCCAUUGAUACUGUAGGGCUUGAAUUAUUAGGAAGUAACUAGAAUAUGUAGUGUAGCGGUGAAAUGCUUAGAGAUUACAUGGAAUACCAAUUGCGAAGGCAGGUUACUACUAAUGGAUUGACGCUGAUGGACGAAAGCGUGGGUAGCGAACAGGAUUAGAUACCCUGGUAGUCCACGCCGUAAACCGAUGGAUACUAGCUGUUGGGGGUCAACCGUCAGUGGCUAAGCGAAAGUGAUAAGUAUCCCACCUGGGGAGUACGUUCGCAGAAUGAAACUCAAAGGAAUUGACGGGCUUGNGAGNGCGAGGNGACACGAGGGAGGAGG